This 426-nucleotide ribosomal RNA is filed under the name uncultured bacterium. RNAcentral's name for it is "partial 16S ribosomal RNA". It matches the Rfam family "Bacterial small subunit ribosomal RNA", at positions 354 to 796 of the family's 1533-position model. The record is from RNAcentral.
GUGAGGAAUUUUCCGCAAUGGGCGAAAGCCUGACGGAGCAAUGCCGCGUGAAGGAUGAAGGCCUAUGGGUUGUAAACUUCUUUUCUCAGAAAAGAAUUAUGACGGUAUCUGAGGAAUAAGCAUCGGCUAACUCUGUGCCAGCAGCCGCGGUAAGACAGAGGAUGCAAGCGUUAUCCGGAAUGAUUGGGCGUAAAGCGUCUGUAGGUUGUUUAAAAAGUAUUCUGUCAAAGAUUAGGGCUUAACCCUAGAUAGGCAGAAUAAACUUUUAAGCUAGAGUUUGGUAGAGGCAGAGGGAAUUCCCGGUGGAGCGGUGAAAUGCGGAGAUAUCGGGAGGAACACCAAAGGCGAAGGCACUCUGCUGGGCCAAUACUAACACUGAGAGACGAAAGCGAGGGGAGCAAAUGGGAUUAGAAACCCCUGUAGUCC